UAAGGAAUAUUGGUCAAUGGAGGCAACUCUGAACCAGCCACGCCGCGUGGACGAUGAAGGCCCUCUGGGUUGUAAAGUUCUUUAGUCUGGGACGAAAAAAGGAGAUUUAUCUUCGACUGACGGUACCAGAAGAAUAAGCACCGGCUAACUCCGUGCCAGCAGCCGCGGUAAUACGGAGGGUGCAAGCGUUAUCCGGAAUCACUGGGUUUAAAGGGUGCGUAGGCGGUUUUAUAAGUCAGCGGUGAAAGCGGGUCGCUCAACGAUCCCAUUGCCGUUGAUACUGUUUAACUAGAAUUGGGUUGAGGUAGCUAGAAUGUAACAUGUAGCGGUGAAAUGCUUAGAUAUGUUAUAGAACACCGAUUGCGAAGGCAGGCUACUGGACCUUGAUUGACGCUGAGGCACGAAAGCGUGGGUAGCGAACAGG
This 424-nucleotide ribosomal RNA is filed under the name uncultured bacterium. Its description in RNAcentral is "bacterial SSU rRNA". It matches the Rfam family "Bacterial small subunit ribosomal RNA", at positions 355 to 776 of the family's 1533-position model. The record is from RNAcentral.